AAGCUCGUAGUUGAAUUUCGUGAUCAAUACGUCGGUCGUGCUUCGGUACGUACUGGCGUCAUCGAUUUCUCCCUUCUGACGAACCAUGAUGUCAUUAACUUGGUGUCAUGGGAAAUCAGGACUGUUACUUUGAAAAAAUUAGAGUGUUUAAAGCAGGCUCACGCUUGAAUACAUUAGCAUGGAAUAAUGAAAUAGGACGUUCGAUCCUAUUUUGUUGGUUUUAGGAUCAACGUAAUGAUUAAUAGGGAAGUUGGG
Molecule: ribosomal RNA, 255 nt
Filed under: uncultured Glomus
Lineage: Eukaryota; Fungi; Glomeromycota; Glomeromycetes; Glomerales; Glomeraceae
Description: partial 18S ribosomal RNA
Rfam family: Eukaryotic small subunit ribosomal RNA
Source: RNAcentral